GGCGCCAUAGCCAAGUGGUAAGGCAGAGGUCUGCAAAACCUCGAUGCCCCAGUUCAAAUCUGGGUGGCGCCUCCA
This 75-nucleotide transfer RNA is filed under the name Ruminococcus sp. Its description in RNAcentral is "tRNA-Cys". It matches the Rfam family "tRNA". From Rfam's summary of the family: Transfer RNA (tRNA) molecules are approximately 80 nucleotides in length. Their secondary structure includes four short double-helical elements and three loops (D, anti-codon, and T loops). The record is from RNAcentral. Lineage: Bacteria; Bacillati; Bacillota; Clostridia; Eubacteriales; Oscillospiraceae. RNAcentral also lists the same sequence under 3 other names.